This 502-nucleotide ribosomal RNA is filed under the name uncultured bacterium. Its description in RNAcentral is "bacterial SSU rRNA". It matches the Rfam family "Bacterial small subunit ribosomal RNA", at positions 29 to 531 of the family's 1533-position model. The record is from RNAcentral.
AUUGAACGCUGGCGGCAUGCCUUACACAUGCAAGUCGAACGGCAGCACGGGAGCAAUCCUGGUGGCGAGUGGCGAACGGGUGAGUAAUAUAUCGGAACGUGCCCGGUAGUGGGGGAUAACCCGGCGAAAGUCGGACUAAUACCGCAUACGACCUAUGGGUGAAAGCGGGGGAUCGCAAGACCUCGCGCUAUUGGAGCGGCCGAUAUCAGAUUAGCUAGUUGGUGGGGUAAAGGCCUACCAAGGCGACGAUCUGUAGCUGGUCUGAGAGGACGACCAGCCACACUGGGACUGAGACACGGCCCAGACUCCUACGGGAGGCAGCAGUGGGGAAUUUUGGACAAUGGGCGCAAGCCUGAUCCAGCCAUGCCGCGUGCGGGAAGAAGGCCUUCGGGAUGUAAACUUCUGAACUAGCCGAAUAAAAGGCCUGUGGACACACAGGAGAAGAAAGUAGGCUAGGAAAGUCCCGGCUAACUACGUGCCAGCAGCCGCGGUAAUGCUACGG